GACGAACGCUGGCGGCGUGCUUAACACAUGCAAGUCGAACGGAAAGGCCCUGCUUUUGUGGGGUGCUCGAGUGGCGAACGGGUGAGUAACACGUGAGUAACCUGCCCUUGACUUUGGGAUAACUUCAGGAAACUGGGGCUAAUACCGGAUAGGAGCUCCUGCUGCAUGGUGGGGGUUGGAAAGUUUCGGCGGUUGGGGAUGGACUCGCGGCUUAUCAGCUUGCUGGUGGGGUAGUGGCUUACCAAGGCUUUGACGGGUAGCCGGCCUGAGAGGGUGACCGGCCACAUUGGGACUGAGAUACGGCCCAGACUCCUACGGGAGGCAGCAGUGGGGAAUAUUGCACAAUGGGCGGAAGCCUGAUGCAGCAACGCCGCGUGCGGGAUGACGGCCUUCGGGCUGUAAACCGCUUUCGCCUGUGACGAAGCGUGAGUGACGGUAAUGGGUAAAGAAGCACCGGCUAACUACGUG
This 468-nucleotide ribosomal RNA is filed under the name uncultured bacterium. RNAcentral's name for it is "partial 16S ribosomal RNA". It matches the Rfam family "Bacterial small subunit ribosomal RNA", at positions 28 to 507 of the family's 1533-position model. The record is from RNAcentral.